Molecule: long non-coding RNA, 417 nt
Organism: Magnolia sinica
Lineage: Eukaryota; Viridiplantae; Streptophyta; Magnoliopsida; Magnoliales; Magnoliaceae
Exons: 2
Source: RefSeq, a predicted model, not a curated record
UGUUUGGUCCUGUUCUUCCAAUUUAUUUAACUAUGUUCAAAUCAACACUAGCUAUCAACAUGUUUUUCCUUAAUUCUAAUGUUUUUCUUAUUUAGGCAAUCUGUAGUACUGCAAAGAAAAUUUCCAAGCCAAUUAUUGCUGAGAAUGUUGCUAAGUAUAAACUUGAAUUAGUUGAAUUUAAAGCCCAAACAUUGGGAACCCUGCCGCCAACUUUUUAAGGAAUGAAAGUUUACACCACCAAUGAGAACGAGCUAAUCAUGGAGCCAUCUUUAAAAUGGGAUGGAAAUCCAAAUGUCAUUGUUGCAGUUAAAGCAUUUGGACUGAAAGCAACUGUUCAGGUUAUUGAUUUAUUUAAUGUCUCAUGAAGAUCAAUUCAAUAUUUAAUCUCUAUUGUAACAGAUGUUUGGAAUUCCUUGA